CCCUUAGAUGUUCUGGGCCGCACGCGCGCUACACUGACUGGUGCAACAAGUGUCGCUCCUUGGCCGACAGGCCCGGGCAAUCUUUGAACGCCGGUCGUGAUGGGGAUAGACUUUUGCAAUUUUUGGUCUUCAACGAGGAAUUCCUAGUAAACGCAAGUCAUCAACUUGCAUUGAUUACGUCCCUGCCCUUUGUACACACCGCCCGUCGCACCUACCGAUUGAAUGGUCCGGUGAAGCCUCCGGAUUGGCGCGCACCUCGGUGCCGCCGAGAAGUUGGCUAAACCUUACCAUUUAGAGGAAGGUGAAGUCGUAACA
This 315-nucleotide ribosomal RNA is filed under the name uncultured eukaryote. RNAcentral describes it as "partial 18S ribosomal RNA". It matches the Rfam family "Eukaryotic small subunit ribosomal RNA", at positions 1470 to 1796 of the family's 1831-position model. The record is from RNAcentral.